This 32-nucleotide ribosomal RNA is filed under the name Euoplos mcmillani. RNAcentral describes it as "partial 28S ribosomal RNA". The record is from RNAcentral. Lineage: Eukaryota; Metazoa; Arthropoda; Arachnida; Araneae; Idiopidae. RNAcentral also lists the same sequence under 1 other name.
UCGACCUCAGAUCAGACGAGAUGACCCGCUGA